Molecule: unclassified non-coding RNA, 253 nt
Filed under: uncultured Flavobacteriaceae bacterium
Lineage: Bacteria; Pseudomonadati; Bacteroidota; Flavobacteriia; Flavobacteriales; Flavobacteriaceae
Description: contains 16S-23S intergenic spacer region
Rfam family: Bacterial small subunit ribosomal RNA
Source: RNAcentral
UACGGAGGAUCCAAGCGUUAUCCGGAAUCAUUGGGUUUAAAGGGUCCGUAGGCGGGAUAUUAAGUCAGUGGUGAAAGUCCGCAGCUCAACCAUGGAAUUGCCAUUGAUACUGUUGUUCUUGAGUGUUUAUGAAGUGGUUAGAAUAUGUCAUGUAGCGGUGAAAUGCAUAGAUAUUACAUAGAAUACCGAUUGCGAAGGCAGAUCACUAAUACUAUAUUGACGCUGAUGGACGAAAGCGUAGGUAGCGAACAGG